UACGGGGGGGGCAAGCGUUGUUCGGAAUUACUGGGCGUAAAGGGCUCGUAGGCGGCCAACUAAGUCCGACGUGAAAUCCCCAGGCUUAACCUGGGAACUGCGUCGGAUACUGGAUGGCUUGGAUUUGGGAGAGGGAUGCGGAAUUCCGGUGUAGCGGUGAAAUGCGUAGAUAUCUGGAGGAAUACCGGUGGCGAAGGCGGCAUCCUGGACCGACAUUGACGCUGAGGAGCGAAAGCUAGGGGAGCAAACGGG
RNAcentral lists this ribosomal RNA (252 nucleotides) under uncultured bacterium. Its description in RNAcentral is "partial 16S ribosomal RNA". It matches the Rfam family "Bacterial small subunit ribosomal RNA", at positions 524 to 776 of the family's 1533-position model. The record is from RNAcentral.